Molecule: long non-coding RNA, 1211 nt
Filed under: Bemisia tabaci
Lineage: Eukaryota; Metazoa; Arthropoda; Insecta; Hemiptera; Aleyrodidae
Description: lncRNA ENSSSA3NGG000523
Source: RNAcentral
CUAGCAUGCAAUCCGGGUUGCCUACCUAUCGUCUCACUGAAAUUUCCUAAUGCGCGGUCUAGAUUGUAUUAUACGUCAAUGGUAUUUUCUGAGUGUUAUUAUUAUUAUUCUAUGGUGACAAUCUGACAAUUCAAAUAAUUUAAUCAAAUAAUUCAAUUCGUUCAUCUCAUCAGAGCAGGACGUCUGUUCCUCUUCAGUUUUUUUUUUUACAUUUGGUCUCCUCCUUGUGAGUAAGUAAGAACCUUCUCUAAUAAAGAUUUUCUUUCAAUUAAACUGCUUAUAAAUUUCGUUUUGCUUCCGACAGAUGGCCAAAGUUGAAAAAUGCACAUGUCACAUGGCGAAGUUGCUAUAGCAUUCCAAAUGACCAGUUUAGAAAGUAUUAACGAAGCAAGGCUGGAGCUGAUGGAAGCCCUCGGUGAAUUCAAAGAUGCGUACUUAUGUAUGAUGAAACAGUGGUUUAAAAUGCAGAUAAGCAAAAAAGAAUUUGAAGGAGAAAUAAGGAACAUGCUACCCCAGCAUCAGCUACACUUGCACAAUCGGUUUAUUCUUCGAUUAAUCAACAGUUGCCUCAAAUCAGAGGAUGACACAGCAAAAAAGAGGUUUCUCCUUUCCAAAAAAGGCGAAUUGGUAAAAACAAAGAGCCCUGUGAGCCCCCCCAAAAAAUGCCUAAAAUCGAGGAAGAAGUAUUGAAACCGUUCGCAAAAUCUGCUGACUUCAUAGUAUGUUACCUUUACCACCUUCAGCCUGUAAUUUUUAAUCUUCCAUAGGGUAAUAAUGUUUCCAAUGUAAAGGUAGCAGCAAAAUAGACUCACUUGGGGCUACAUUACAUCCGGUACUGUCUGCUUGCACUAAACGUUGUGGUUCAUACUCUUGUUAGAAUUCUUUUUACACUCGUGAGCCUUUUAAGAGAGUGGAACCUUUGAAUGGACCACUAGACAAGGUACGAAGUUAAGCAUCCUGAUACAUGUUUCGUAACCAAAAUUUUACGUGGAGCUCGACUCCAGCAACGAAAACUGCUGAAAUUAACUCCUAACCAAAAUAUUUAAUGUUUCUUAAUCGUGAAUUCAAACCUCCCGCUCAUGAAAACUCAAUGGUCUAUGUGAGUCAAAUCGCACAAAAUUCGCAAAAAUUCGCAUCAAAAUUCCGCCUCAACGUUAUUUUUUUUAGAGGAGAACCUCGACAUAUUUCACAUCACUCCUUGCAGUUUAUAC